CAUUACCGAGUUUACAACUCCCAAACCCAUGUGAACAUACCUACUGUUGCUUCGGCGGGAUUGCCCCGGGCGCCUCGUGUGCCCCGGAUCAGGCGCCCGCCUAGGAAACUUAAUUCUUGUUUUAUUUUGGAAUCUUCUGAGUAGUUUUUACAAAUAAAUAAAAACUUUCAACAACGGAUCUCUUGGUUCUGGCAUCGAUGAAGAACGCAGCGAAAUGCGAUAAGUAAUGUGAAUUGCAGAAUUCAGUGAAUCAUCGAAUCUUUGAACGCACAUUGCGCCCGCCAGUAUUCUGGCGGGCAUGCCUGUCUGAGCGUCAUUUCAACCCUCAUGCCCCUAGGGCGUGGUGUUGGGGAUCGGCCAAAGCCCGCGAGGGACGGCCGGCCCCUAAAUCUAGUGGCGGACCCGUCGUGGCCUCCUCUGCGAAGUAGUGAUAUUCCGCAUCGGAGAGCGACGAGCCCCUGCCGUUAAACCCCCAACUUUCCAAGGUUGACCUCAGAUCAGGUAGGAAUACCCGCUGAACUUAAGCAUAU
Molecule: ribosomal RNA, 530 nt
Filed under: Clonostachys rosea
Lineage: Eukaryota; Fungi; Ascomycota; Sordariomycetes; Hypocreales; Bionectriaceae
Description: eukaryotic LSU rRNA
Rfam family: 5.8S ribosomal RNA (bases 163-316)
Source: RNAcentral